CCUACGGGGGGCUGCAGUGGGGAAUAUUGGACAAUGGGGGGAACCCUGAUCCAGCCAUGCCGCGUGUGUGAAGAAGGCCCUCGGGUUGUAAAGCACUUUCAGUGAGGAAGAACGCCUGGUGGUUAAUACCCAUCAGGAAAGACAUCACUCACAGAAGAAGCACCGGCUAACUCCGUGCCAGCAGCCGCGGUAAUACGGAGGGUGCGAGCGUUAAUCGGAAUUACUGGGCGUAAAGCGCGCGUAGGUGGCUUGAUAAGCCGGUUGUGAAAGCCCCGGGCUCAACCUGGGAACGGCAUCCGGAACUGUCAAGCUAGAGUGCAGGAGAGGAAGGUAGAAUUCCCGGUGUAGCGGUGAAAUGCGUAGAGAUCGGGAGGAAUACCAGUGGCGAAGGCGGCUUUCUGGACUGACACUGACACUGAGGUGCGAAAGCGUGGGUAGCAAACAGGAUUAGAUACCCGAGUAGUC
Molecule: ribosomal RNA, 465 nt
Filed under: Vreelandella stevensii
Lineage: Bacteria; Pseudomonadati; Pseudomonadota; Gammaproteobacteria; Oceanospirillales; Halomonadaceae
Description: partial 16S ribosomal RNA
Rfam family: Bacterial small subunit ribosomal RNA
Source: RNAcentral